UGCAACCUGAACUCAGGCGUGAUUACCCGCUGAACUUAAGCAUAUCACUUAGCGG
This 55-nucleotide ribosomal RNA is filed under the name Trichostrongylus colubriformis. RNAcentral's name for it is "partial 28S ribosomal RNA". Lineage: Eukaryota; Metazoa; Nematoda; Chromadorea; Rhabditida; Trichostrongylidae. The record is from RNAcentral.